RNAcentral lists this transfer RNA (104 nucleotides) under Candidatus Woesearchaeota archaeon. Its description in RNAcentral is "tRNA-Ala". It matches the Rfam family "tRNA". Rfam says of the family: Transfer RNA (tRNA) molecules are approximately 80 nucleotides in length. Their secondary structure includes four short double-helical elements and three loops (D, anti-codon, and T loops). The record is from RNAcentral. Lineage: Archaea; Nanobdellati; Candidatus Woesearchaeota.
GGGCCUGUAGCUUAGUCGUAGAGCGCUUCCCUUGCAAGGAGGAGGUCUCGGGUUCAAAACUUCAUUCAAUACAACUGAAUGGGGUGAACUUCCCGACGGGUCCA